GAAAGAGCGGCCAUAGAAGGUGAUAGCCCUGUAUCUGAAAGGGCCAUUCCAGUGAAGACGAGUAGGGCGGGGCACGUGAAACCCUGUCUGAACAUGGGGGGACCAUCCUCCAAGGCUAAAUACUACUGACCGACCGAUAGUGAACCAGUACCGUGAGGGAAAGGCGAAAAGAACCCCGGAGAGGGGAGUGAAAUAGAACCUGAAACCGUGUGCGUACAAGCAGUAGGAGCUCCGCAAGGAGUGACUGCGUACCUUUUGUAUAAUGGGUCAGCGACUUACUGUUCGUGGCAAGCUUAACCGUAUAGGGGAGGCGAAGGGAAACCGAGUCUGAUAAGGGCGCAUAGUCGCGGGCAGUAGACCCGAAACCGGGUGAUCUAGUCAUGCCCAGGGUGAAGGUGCGGUAACACGCACUGGAGGCCCGAACCCACUCCCGUUGCAAAGGUAGGGGAUGAGGUGUGAUUAGGAGUGAAAAGCUAAUCGAACCCGGAGAUAGCUGGUUCUCCUCGAAAGCUAUUUAGGUAGCGCCUCAUAUGUAUCCUCUCGGGGGUAGAGCACUGUUAUGGCUAGGGGGUCAUCGCGACUUACCAAACCAUUGCAAACUCCGAAUACCGAGACGGACUGUAUGGGAGACACACGGCGGGUGCUAACGUCCGUCGUGAAAAGGGAAACAACCCAGACCCACAGCUAAGGUCCCAAAUUCACUGCUAAGUGGAAAACCAUGUGGAAAGGCACAGACAGCCAGGAGGUUGGCUUAGAAGCAGCCACCCUUUAAAGAAAGCGUAAUAGCUCACUGGUCGAGUCGGUCUGCGGGGAAGAUUUAACGGGGCUAAGCAGUGAACCGAAGCUUGGGGUGCAUACUUUGUAUGCGCGGUAGAGGAGCGUUCCGUAAGCCGUUGAAGGUGGAUUGAGAAGUCUGCUGGAGGUAUCGGAAGUGCGAAUGCUGACAUGAGUAACGAUAAUGCGGGUGAAAAACCCGCACGCCGAAAGCCCAAGGUUUCCUUGCGCAACGUUAAUCGGCGCAGGGUGAGUCGGCCCCUAAGGCGAGGACGAAAGUCGUAGUCGAUGGGAAGCAGGUUAAUAUUCCUGCACCUCGCGUAAGUGCGAUGGAGGGACGGAGAAGGUUAGGUGUACCAGGCGUUGGUUGUCCUGGGGAAAGGCGGUAGGUUUGGAUCUUUGGCAAAUCCGGGAUCCUUUAAGACCGAGCACCGAGACGAGCCUUUAUGGCGAAGUCACUGAUACCACGCUUCCAGGAAAAGCUCCUAAGCUUCAGCUUACGCAGACCGUACCGUAAACCGACACAGGUGGGUAGGAUGAGAAUUCUCAGGCGCUUGAGAGAACUCGGGUGAAGGAACUAGGCAACAUGGCACCGUAACUUCGGGAGAAGGUGCACCCUUUUUGGUGGCUCGUGCGAGCUAUAGCUGAAGAGGGUCGCAGUAACCAGGCCGCUGCGACUGUUUAUCAAAAACACAGCACUCUGCAAACACGAAAGUGGACGUAUAGGGUGUGACGCCUGCCCGGUGCUGGAAGGUUAAUUGAUGGGGUCAGCCGCAAGGCGAAGCUCUUGAUCGAAGCCCCAGUAAACGGCGGCCGUAACUAUAACGGUCCUAAGGUAGCGAAAUUCCUUGUCGGGUAAGUUCCGACCUGCACGAAUGGCGUAACGACAGCGGCGCUGUCUCCACCCGAGACUCAGUGAAAUUGAAAUCGCUGUGAAGAUGCAGCGUUCCCGUGGCAAGACGGAAAGACCCCGUGAACCUUUACUAUAGCUUUACACUGAACGUUGAGUUCGUCUGUGUAGGAUAGGUGGGAGGCUAUGAAACUGUGGCGCUAGCUGCAGUGGAGCCAUCCUUGAAAUACCACCCUGUCGUGCUUGACGUUCUAACCUGGGCCCAUUAUCUGGGUCGGGGACCGUGUAUGGUGGGUAGUUUGACUGGGGCGGUCUCCUCCUAAAGAGUAACGGAGGAGCUCGAAGGUACGCUCAGCGCGGUCGGACAUCGCGCACUGUGUGCAAAGGCAUAAGCGUGCUUGACUGCAAGAUCGACGGAUCAAGCAGGUAGGAAACUAGGACUUAGUGAUCCGGUGGUUCUGUAUGGAAGGGCCAUCGCUCAACGGAUAAAAGGUACUCCGGGGAUAACAGGCUGAUACCGCCCAAGAGUUCAUAUCGACGGCGGUGUUUGGCACCUCGAUGUCGGCUCAUCACAUCCUGGGGCUGUAGUCGGUCCCAAGGGUAUGGCUGUUCGCCAUUUAAAGUGGUACGCGAGCUGGGUUCAGAACGUCGUGAGACAGUUCGGUCCCUAUCUGCCAUGGGCGUUGGAGAUUUGAGAGGGGCUGCUCCUAGUACGAGAGGACCGGAGUGGACGAACCUCUGGUGUUCCGGUUGUCACGCCAGUGGCAUUGCCGGGUAGCUAUGUUCGGAAGCGAUAACCGCUGAAAGCAUCUAAGCGGGAAGCGCGCCUCAAGAUGAGAUCUCCCGGGGCACAAGCCCCCUGAAGGAACCAUGUAGACUACGUGGUUGAUAGGUCAGGUGUGUAAGUACAGCAAUGUAUUGAGCUAACUGAUACUAAUGAUCCGUGCGGCUUGACCAU
This 2582-nucleotide ribosomal RNA is filed under the name Stenotrophomonas maltophilia. RNAcentral's name for it is "partial 23S ribosomal RNA". It matches the Rfam family "Bacterial large subunit ribosomal RNA", at positions 345 to 2925 of the family's 2925-position model. The record is from RNAcentral. Lineage: Bacteria; Pseudomonadati; Pseudomonadota; Gammaproteobacteria; Lysobacterales; Lysobacteraceae.